RNAcentral lists this long non-coding RNA (457 nucleotides) under Mus spicilegus (steppe mouse). Its description in RNAcentral is "lncRNA (ENSMSIG00000028416.1)". The record is from RNAcentral. Lineage: Eukaryota; Metazoa; Chordata; Mammalia; Rodentia; Muridae.
ACAUGCAGGCAAACACUCACAUACACAAAAUGAAAAGGAAAUGUUUUAAAAAGUAAAAGUUAUAUUGUAUUACUCUCUAUCAUUUCUCAGUAACCAGCUGUGUCAUGGACAGAGACCUUCAAUAGACCAGGGUUCAUCACAGUAUCCUUGCUGACAUCCCUUGCAUCUUGGAAUCCAGAAGCCUCUUACUGCUUACGGAUCCUCUGUCUGAGCAGUCAGUCAUGCUGCCUCCCUCUCCCCAUAUGAAAAACAGUUACAUCUUCCAGUGUUUCCAGAUAUAAAAGGGGAAAUUGAUUCUGCCACAUGGCUAACUGGAAAUCAAUAAUGUUUGAUCUCGGGCAACGUGCCUGUGAUUUGCUCAAUUAGAGCUUACGGAAGCUGCUCUUCCCUCUGCAGGAUGAGGAGUCAUUUCGAUUUGCAGGUAAGAACUGAAGUCUCCUUUACAGUGGACCUUUCU